Molecule: small RNA, 27 nt
Filed under: Bombyx mori (domestic silkworm)
Lineage: Eukaryota; Metazoa; Arthropoda; Insecta; Lepidoptera; Bombycidae
Description: ovarian small RNA-14431
Source: RNAcentral
CGGAAAGAAAAAGUUACGUAACAUUGC